Molecule: unclassified non-coding RNA, 221 nt
Filed under: fungal sp.
Lineage: Eukaryota; Fungi
Description: partial internal transcribed spacer region
Rfam family: Eukaryotic small subunit ribosomal RNA (bases 1-46)
Source: RNAcentral
AAGUCGUAACAAGGUUUCCGUAGGUGAACCUGCGGAAGGAUCAUUACAUUCAGUAGCCUAGCUACUUGUUUACACCCUUGUUUUUUGCGUACCUAUUGUUUCCUCGGCGGGCUUGCUCGCCGGUUGGACAAAACUAUAACCUUUUUUUUAUGCAGUUGCAAUCAGCGUCAGUAAAAACAAUGUAAUUAUUACAACUUUCAACAACGGAUCUCUUGGUUCUG